GAUGAACGCUAGCGGCAGGCUUAACACAUGCAAGUCGAGGGGUAUAGUUCUUCGGAGCUAGAGACCGGCGCACGGGUGCGUAACGCGUAUGCAAUCUACCUUUUACAGGGGGAUAGCCCAGAGAAAUUUGGAUUAAUACCCCAUAGUAUAAUUGAAUGGCAUCAUUUAAUUAUUAAAGUCACAACGGUAAAAGAUGAGCAUGCGUCCCAUUAGCUAGUUGGUAAGGUAACGGCUUACCAAGGCAACGAUGGGUAGGGGUCCUGAGAGGGAGAUCCCCCACACUGGUACUGAGACACGGACCAGACUCCUACGGGAGGCAGCAGUGAGGAAUAUUGGUCAAUGGGCGCAAGCCUGAACCAGCCAUGCCGCGUGCAGGAUGACGGUCCUAUGGAUUGUAAACUGCUUUUGCACAGGAAGAAACACUGAUUCGUGAAUCAGCUUGACGGUACUGUGAGAAUAAGGAUCGGCUAACUCCGUGCCAGCAGCCGCGGUAAUACGGAGGAUCCAAGCGUUAUCCGGAAUCAUUGGGUUUAAAGGGUCCGUAGGCGGUUUGGUAAGUCAGUGGUGAAAGCCCAUCGCUCAACGGUGGAACGGCCAUUGAUACUGCUAAACUUGAAUUAUUAGGAAGUAA
This 631-nucleotide ribosomal RNA is filed under the name uncultured bacterium. RNAcentral's name for it is "bacterial SSU rRNA". It matches the Rfam family "Bacterial small subunit ribosomal RNA", at positions 28 to 660 of the family's 1533-position model. The record is from RNAcentral.